RNAcentral lists this ribosomal RNA (620 nucleotides) under uncultured bacterium. RNAcentral's name for it is "bacterial SSU rRNA". The stretch from base 1 to 524 matches the Rfam family "Bacterial small subunit ribosomal RNA", at positions 338 to 873 of the family's 1533-position model. The record is from RNAcentral.
CCUACGGGAGGCAGCAGUGAGGAAUUUUCCGCAAUGGGCGAAAGCCUGACGGAGCAAUACCGCGUGAGGGAUGAAGGAUUUUGGUCUGUAAACCUCUUUUCUCAAGAAAGAAGUUCUGACGGUACUUGAGGAAUAAGCAUCGGUUAACUCCGUGCCAGCAGCCGCGGUAAUACGGGGGAUGCAAGCGUUAUCCGGAAUGAUUGGGCGUAAAGCGCCUGUAGGUUGUUUAUUAAGUCCGUUGUUAAAGCCUAGGGCUCAACCCUAGAAAAGCAAUGGAAACUAGUAGACUAGAGUAUGGCAGGGGUAGAGGGAAUUUCUAGUGUAGCGGUGAAAUGCGUAGAUAUUAGAAAGAACACCGGUGGCGAAAGCGCUCUACUGGACCAUUACUGACACUCAGAGGCGAAAGCUAGGGUAGCAAAAGGGAUUAGAUACCCCUGUAGUCCUAGCCGUAAACGAUGGAUACUAGAUGUUGUGCAUAUAGUACUAGUAUACGUAGUACGUACGUACGUUAACGUACUACCGUCCGUCGGGUAGGUACGUCGUCGCGACGGUAGGAACGUACAAUAGAAGUUAGUACGGCGUGAGACGUCGCCGACGGACGACCGACCGAGGGAGGUAGG